UGCCAGCAGCCGCGGUAAUACGGAGGGUGCGAGCGUUAAUCGGAAUUACUGGGCGUAAAGCGCACGCAGGCGGUUUGUUAAGCUAGAUGUGAAAGCCCGGGGCUCAACCCCGGAAGUGCAUUGGAUACUGGCAGUCUUGAGUAUGGGAGAGGGAAGUGGAAUUCCAGGUGUAGAGGUGAAAUUCAUAGAUAUCUGGAGGAACACCGGUGGCGAAGGCGACUUCCUGGACCAAUACUGACGCUGAGGUGCGAAAGCGUGGGGAGCAAACAGGAUUAGAUA
RNAcentral lists this ribosomal RNA (279 nucleotides) under uncultured bacterium. RNAcentral describes it as "partial 16S ribosomal RNA". It matches the Rfam family "Bacterial small subunit ribosomal RNA", at positions 506 to 784 of the family's 1533-position model. The record is from RNAcentral.